Aquila chrysaetos chrysaetos is the source of this 342-nucleotide long non-coding RNA. RefSeq lists it as uncharacterized. Lineage: Eukaryota; Metazoa; Chordata; Aves; Accipitriformes; Accipitridae. The transcript is spliced from 3 exons. The record is from RefSeq and is a predicted model, not a curated record.
GAAGAAGUUUUUUAUGAUGAGGGUGGUGAGACACUGGAGAAGGUUGCCGGGAGAAGUUGUGGAAGCCCAUCAUUGGAAGUGUUCAAGAUAAAACUUCGUCCUGCAGCUUGAGAAUACAGAAGGUUUUGGUUUUUAUGUAGGCAAUAACUUGCCAUGGUCAGCACAAUAGGUAAACAGAGGCCACAAAUACAAAAAAAACAAAGCUCCACAGGAAGAAAAUGAUGCUUCUCAAAGAUUUGGAUGCUGGAAUAAACUUCAGCAAAGACAAGUUAGACAGCAGAUAGCUGGCAAGAAGAUAAAGGAGAUAUGUUCAGUUAAUAAAUCACAUCUCUGAACUCCUAA